GAUGAACGCUGGCGGCGUGCCUAAUACAUGCAAGUCGAACGCAUAGCGAAAGGUGCUUGCACCUUUCAAGUGAGUGGCGAACGGGUGAGUAACACGUGGACAACCUGCCUCAAGGCUGGGGAUAACAUUUGGAAACAGAUGCUAAUACCGAAUAAAACUUAGUGUCGCAUGACACAAAGUUAAAAGGCGCUUCGGCGUCACCUAGAGAUGGAUCCGCGGUGCAUUAGUUAGUUGGUGGGGUAAAGGCCUACCAAGACAAUGAUGCAUAGCCGAGUUGAGAGACUGAUCAGCCACAUUGGGACUGAGACACGGCCCAAACUCCUACGGGAGGCUGCAGUAGGGAAUCUUCCACAAUGGGCGAAAGCCUGAUGGAGCAACGCCGCGUGUGUGAUGAAGGCUUUCGGGUCGUAAAGCACUGUUGUAUGGGAAGAACAGCUAGAAUAGGAAAUGAUUUUAGUUUGACGGUACCAUACCAGAAAGGGACGGCCAAAUACGUG
This 497-nucleotide ribosomal RNA is filed under the name uncultured bacterium. RNAcentral describes it as "partial 16S ribosomal RNA". It matches the Rfam family "Bacterial small subunit ribosomal RNA", at positions 28 to 507 of the family's 1533-position model. The record is from RNAcentral.